GUCGUUGUAGUAUAGUGGUGAGUAUCCCCGCCUGUCACGCGGGAGACUUGGGUUCAAUCCCCGGCAACAGCG
Molecule: transfer RNA, 72 nt
Filed under: Ipomoea nil (Japanese morning glory)
Lineage: Eukaryota; Viridiplantae; Streptophyta; Magnoliopsida; Solanales; Convolvulaceae
Rfam family: tRNA
About the family: Transfer RNA (tRNA) molecules are approximately 80 nucleotides in length. Their secondary structure includes four short double-helical elements and three loops (D, anti-codon, and T loops).
Source: Rfam by way of RNAcentral